AAAAUUAGCUUAAAGUAAAAGUUUGGAUUUUUGAUCCGAGGAUAUUUUUUAGUUUCUGUGG
Molecule: transfer RNA, 61 nt
Filed under: Aspiculuris tetraptera
Lineage: Eukaryota; Metazoa; Nematoda; Chromadorea; Rhabditida; Heteroxynematidae
Description: tRNA-Lys
Source: RNAcentral